AGCCUGGGCAACACAGGAAGACCCCAUCUCUGCAAAUAGUUGUUUUUAAAAAAUUAGCUGGGCAUGAUGGUGCAUGCCUGUCAUUCUACCUACUCAGGAGGCUAUGGCAGGAGAAUCACUUGAGCCUGGGAGGUCCAGGCUGCAGUGAGCCAUGAUUGUGUCACUGCACUAUAGCCUGUGUGACAGAGCAAGACCUUGUCUCAAAAAUAAAAUGAAAUAAAAUAAAUAAAAAUAGAAAAUCAGAACUCAGUAGAAAAAUUAGGGUUGAGA
RNAcentral lists this long non-coding RNA (270 nucleotides) under Homo sapiens (human). RNAcentral describes it as "non-protein coding lnc-GAP43-12:1". The record is from RNAcentral. Lineage: Eukaryota; Metazoa; Chordata; Mammalia; Primates; Hominidae.